This 454-nucleotide long non-coding RNA is filed under the name Numida meleagris (helmeted guineafowl). RNAcentral describes it as "lncRNA (ENSNMEG00000013523.1)". The record is from RNAcentral. Lineage: Eukaryota; Metazoa; Chordata; Aves; Galliformes; Numididae.
GGCGGAGGAGGAGGGAAGUUACUUGAGGAAAUGUGUUAAGCAAUGCAGCUUGUUAUGUAGAGCAAACCCUCAUGAAGUCCUCCAUGGUAUGAAGGGUGAAGCCAUGGCAAAGUCAAGGAAGCUUCUGCCCUCUCUGGGCCAAUUCUACACCUACUGAGAAUCAGUUUUGCACCCAACUCUGAUAGUGGGUUUUCUUCCCACGUCUCAAUUAACAAAACUCAGGAAAAGCCUCCUGGUGCUCAGCCCGGUCCUGCCCCACUGUCUGACAAGGGGAGGUGAAGCACAGUCACACCGAUUGCAGGAAGACACACCCCCAAAGGAAGCUAAACUGGUCUUUGUUGUUAAAAUGCUUUUGGCGUGCAUUGCUGAACCCCUGGAGGAAGAGGGGCCAGGAUGGAUGUCUUCUCACCUGAUGCAAGCAACUGAGAAGGAAACUACAUAUGGCAAAAGCUGA